UCUGGCAUCCUUGUAGCGGUUCGGCGCGUCGCCGAACUCGCCAAGCACCCGGGCGCCGAGGACGAGACCUAGUCCGGGAAGA
This 82-nucleotide small RNA is filed under the name freshwater sediment metagenome. Its description in RNAcentral is "Actinobacteria sRNA Ms_AS-4". It matches the Rfam family "Actinobacteria sRNA Ms_AS-4". The record is from Rfam by way of RNAcentral.